Non-coding RNA from Cordylochernes scorpioides, 105 nucleotides. The record is from the annotation of a GenBank genome assembly. Lineage: Eukaryota; Metazoa; Arthropoda; Arachnida; Pseudoscorpiones; Chernetidae.
ACUACCAUUCCAAAUUGAAAACACAGGUUCGGUUUAGAUUCCCGAAGUUAAGCAAUGAUGAGAUUUAUUUAGUACUUGGGAGGGUAAAAAAAAAUCAUUUAGCUA